AUGAUAUCAGUACGUAUGUGAUAACGAUCAUAAAGGCUCCUGAUCAACGGACUCAAAAAUCGUAUUAUAUUUUAAAUUGAAAUUAUUAAUUAUAUAUAAAUCUUAAAUAAAUUUAAAUUGUACUAUAAAAUAUUGUAUAAUAUUAUGUACAUUAUGUCGUCGUUCACUUACAUACCUACGUAUGCGAAAAACAGUUAUGUUACUUUUAAAUGCUACCUACUCGACAUGAUGGAUAGAUUUGAAAACUUACUCUCACCAAGGAUCAAGAUUUUCAAGGAAGAAUUGGUGUGUAUUAAUUUGUAUUUGUUCAGUACACCAUUCAAGAAGAUACAAGUGCGGAAAAACAGCAAAAUGUUUCUGCCCGUACCAGACUCAUCCUUAAAUCCAAGUUGAUAACCAAAAAUGAUUGCACAGGUUCUAACGCUGAUCGAAAUAUAAACCCUUAAUAAUCGGUAUAUCAGAUGACGCCAAUUGGUGACGACCGCACAUGGAGAGUAAUGCUACUGACGCCUAUCGCCAUUGUAUGCAGUGAACGUGUUAAGUUCUAAUAUAUAAUAUUUAAUAAAGAAAUAUUCAUUUGCUAAUUUAAUAUCAUAAUCAUCUGGAUAUUGUAUUAUUUGUUUUAUUAAGUAAUAUUUAAUAUAAGAAAAUGUAUUGGAAUCAUGUAUGAUCGUCUACUUCAGGAGUCUUUGUAUCAUCACAGUCUUAGCACAUUAAUUACUUUUUUUACUGUUAAAUUAUGUCUAAGGAUGCAUGGAAGAUGGAAGUGCACACAAUUCAAUAUCAAGAUAUAUUUGUCUUCUAAACUUUAAAAAUAAAUACUCUCAGUCAUGAGUGAUGGCUUUGCGAAACUAAUUACAGCCAUCAUAUGUGUUAUUUUAGACAAAUCCAUUUGGAAAUAAAAUGUAUUAAAGAUAAAUAGAUAAUCGCUGAUAAUAUUUAAUAUAUAAAAGUUAUCAAAAUGUUUUAAAUCAUUUAUGAUUGACAACUUCAGGAGUCUUUGUGUCAUAGUCUUAGCUCCAUAAAUAUUUUUUUUUGUCUAAGGAUGUGUGGAAGUGUAGACAAAUCAAUAUCAAGAUAUAUUUGUCUUCUGAACUUUAAAAAUAAAAUACCUUCAGUCAUAACUCAAUACCUGUUUCUGAUUGUCAACAGAUUAUAUAUUUAAUAAUUUAUAUAAUAUUUUAAAGCUACGUGUAAUUUUACAUUUAUUAAUGAACAAGUCUUAUGCAUUGAAGUAUAUCUUUAAUAUUGAUUUUAAUAGGUAAUAUAAUAUUCUUUCAAUGUUCUGGUUGUUAAUUAGCUUACAAACCAAAUUGAUAUAUGAUUAUUCUAAUUAUUAUUAACUUAAAAUAAUAAUUUUUUUUCUUAAAUAUUUACAUUUUUUUUUAUUUAUAUUAAUCAGAUUGAUACAAAAAAAGUAGUAGAUAGUUUUAGAAACUUAAUACAUUCUUCUAAGAAUGUGUAUAAAAUUUUUUAAUUAUUUGUUAUUUGUGAUAUUAAUUUCCAUGAAAUUUUUAGUUGUGUAACUAAUACUAAUACUAUUUUUUUCCUACUAUUUUUAUAUUUUGUAUUUUCUAUAUUGUUUUUUGUACAUCUGAAAAAUCUAUACUAUCGACACUAACAAUGAUAUACUUUCAUGUAUACUUAUAAAAAACAAAGUUUAUAUUAAACACUAUAAUUUUGUUUGGCAUCAAUUAUAAAUCUAUAAAUCUAGCAUUUAUUACAUAUUGAAAAUCUCUAUUAUUUAUAUUAAUCAUUACCUACUUGAUAUAAAUAUUGUUAGCAACUAAUUCCAUAAAAUAAAUACUUUAAUAAAUAUUUAAAAUUCUGUUGUGACAUUUAAAUACAAAUAUUUGUAAUUUUUGAUUUUUUUUCAGUAUAAUUGUUGAUAAUAAUUUUUUUACCUGUCAAAAUACUCGAAAUGUCAAUACAAGAUUCCUCAUAAAUGAUUCAUAUUAAAACCUAAAAUAUUAACAAUCAUUCUGUUUCUAUGGAUAUUUUAAAUUAUUUGGACAAAAUUAAAUAUUUAAACAAAGAAUUUGUUUUAUUUCAAUACUUUUUUAUACCACAAA
Molecule: long non-coding RNA, 2072 nt
Organism: Rhopalosiphum padi (bird cherry-oat aphid)
Lineage: Eukaryota; Metazoa; Arthropoda; Insecta; Hemiptera; Aphididae
Exons: 6
Source: RefSeq, a predicted model, not a curated record